RNAcentral lists this ribosomal RNA (406 nucleotides) under uncultured bacterium. RNAcentral's name for it is "partial 16S ribosomal RNA". It matches the Rfam family "Bacterial small subunit ribosomal RNA", at positions 29 to 526 of the family's 1533-position model. The record is from RNAcentral.
AUUGAACGCUGGCGGCAGGCCUAACACAUGCAAGUCGAGCGAGCGGCGGACGGGUGAGUAAUGUCUGGGAAACUGCCUGAUGGAGGGGGGUAACGACUGGGAACGGUAGCUAAUACCCCCUACCAUUAGAUGUGCCCAGAUGGGAUUAGCUCGUAGGUGGGGUAAUGGACCACCUAGGCGACGAACCCCAGCUGGUCUGAGAGGAUGACCAGCCACACUGGAACUGAGAAACGGUCCAGACUCCUACGGGAGGCAGCAGUGGGGAAUAUUGCACAAUGGGCGCAAGCCUGAUGCAGCCAUGCCGCGUGUGUGAAGAAGGCCUUCGGGUUGUAAAGCACUUUCAGCGGGGAGGCGUUACCCGCAGAAGAAGCACCGGCUAACUCCGUGCCAGCAGCCGCGGUAAUAC